This 232-nucleotide ribosomal RNA is filed under the name uncultured bacterium. RNAcentral's name for it is "partial 16S ribosomal RNA". It matches the Rfam family "Bacterial small subunit ribosomal RNA", at positions 28 to 261 of the family's 1533-position model. The record is from RNAcentral.
GACGAACGCUGGCGGCGUGCUUAACACAUGCAAGUCGAGCGGUAAGGCCCUUUCGGGGGUACACGAGCGGCGAACGGGUGAGUGACACGUGGGUGACCUGCCCUCAGCUCUGGGAUAAGCCUGGGAAACCGGGUCUAAUACUGGAUAUGACUCCAUGACGCAUGUUGUGGGGUGGAAAGCCUUGUGCGGCUGAGGAUGGGCCCGCGGCCUAUCAGCUUGUUGGUGGGGGGAU